This 426-nucleotide ribosomal RNA is filed under the name uncultured bacterium. RNAcentral describes it as "partial 16S ribosomal RNA". It matches the Rfam family "Bacterial small subunit ribosomal RNA", at positions 354 to 796 of the family's 1533-position model. The record is from RNAcentral.
GUGAGGAAUUUUCCGCAAUGGGCGAAAGCCUGACGGAGCAAUGCCGCGUGAAGGAUGAAGGCCUAUGGGUUGUAAACUUCUUUUCUCAGAAAAGAAUUAUGACGGUAUCUGAGGAAUAAGCAUCGACUAACUCUGUGCCAGCAGCCGCGGUAAGACAGAGGAUGCAAGCGUUAUCCGGAAUGAUUGGGCGUAAAGCGUCUGUAGGUUGUUUAAAAAGUAUUCUGUCAAAGAUUAGGGCUUAACCCUAGAUAGGAAGAAUAAACUUUUAAGCUAGAGUUUGGUAGAGGCAGAGGGAAUUCCCGGUGGAGCGGUGAAAUGCGUAGAUAUCGGGAGGAACACCAAAGGCGAAGGCACGCUGCUGGGCCAAUACUAACACUGAGAGACGAAAGCGAGGGGAGCAAAUGGGAUUAGAUACCCUAGUAGUCC